This is a non-coding RNA of Pantherophis guttatus, 414 nucleotides long. Lineage: Eukaryota; Metazoa; Chordata; Lepidosauria; Squamata; Colubridae. The record is from RefSeq and is a predicted model, not a curated record.
GAGUUUCUAAUGCUCCCUUCCACAUUUGCAUAAGGAAACGCAAUCAGGAAGCCAGCAAGAAGUCAGAAUUCACUCUUGAUCCAUCUGCUUUCUUGCCUAUUUUCUGUCUUGAAAAGUAGAAUGCAGAAGUCCACGGAAAAGCAGGCUUCUUGUGAAAAUUGGAGGCACCUGGCUACCUAUUUUCUAUCCCAUUUGAGCCUUUUCAUCAAUAAAACAGCAACCUUGGCACAGGAAUGAGAAAAGACUUGAGUUUUUGGAGCUUUGCAGAUAUAAAGAUUGACAGAUUCAAACACAUUCGGAGAAGCCAGAGUCAUCUCACUUUGUAUUUGCUUGAUGAGAAAAAAUUCCGUAAGUGAUAAACAUGAAGUGAUACAAUACAAAUAUAAUCUGGGUCUAAGGAAAAAAAAUACAAAA